This 2312-nucleotide unclassified non-coding RNA is filed under the name Hevea brasiliensis (rubber tree). Lineage: Eukaryota; Viridiplantae; Streptophyta; Magnoliopsida; Malpighiales; Euphorbiaceae. The record is from RNAcentral.
UAAAAGUGAUAACAUCAAUAGCUGGAUCUAAUCAAGAAGUCAGAGAAAUUCAUGGAGCAAAUCAAUGAUCAUCAUAUCAAAUCAAGGAUAUUAAGGAAUCUGUAGAUUUACCUGCAUCAUUUUUCUAUGUAUAUAAAUAUAGACCUUGUACAGCAAAUAAUCAUAUAAAAAAAGAGAAACCAUUUUGUUCAUGGUAUCAGAGCAGUAAAGAUCCCACCUCGACAACAUCAGCUCAUUGUUCAAAUACACCUAACCUUUCUGUACCUGUUAUUACUCCACCAUGGCUAACACAUCCAAGAAAGAAACAGAACAUGACCAGUUCACCUUAUCAAAUUCUGAUCACCCAGGCAUGUCACUAAUCAACGUCCCUCUCACUAGCGAUAAUUACCUCACUUGGAGUCGAUCCAUGUUGAUCGGAUUAAGGGCCAAAGAUAAACUUGGGUUCAUCCAUGGCACAUGCAAAAAGCCAGUAGAUACCUCUCCAGAUUCUGAGAAAUGGCUCAAGGUCGACAGCAUGGUCAUCUCUUGGAUACUAAGUUCUAUGUCAAAAGAAAUAGUAGAAGCUUUUCUAUAUGCAUCGUCUGCCAAGGAUUUAUGGGAUGAGCUUGCCCAGAGAUUUGGUGAAAGCAACGGUCCCUUGAUAUAUCAAAUCAACAGAGAGAUAUGCUCUCUUAGCCAAGGUAAUAUGUCUCUCAUAAAUUACUUCACUAAGCUCAAAAAGCUUUGGGAUGAACUAGCUUGUCUCGAGCAAUUUCCAGUUUGUGAAUGUGAAGCCUCGAAGGAAAUUGCAGAGAUGGAAAAUAAUACAAAAUUGAUUCAGUUCCUUAUGGGAUUGAACCCAUCUUAUGACCAUGUCCGCAACCAAAUUCUGCUCAUGGACCCAUUCCCACCUGUCAACAAAGCCUACUCUAUGGCUUUGCAAGUUGAAAAACAGAGAGAGAUCAACACUUUUUCCCUUGACAGCACCGAAUCAUCCCUAGCCAUGCUGGCAAAAGGAUUGAGCUCCAAAAGAAUCCAUGAAGGCAACAAAAAUCAAAACAAAAGGAAGGAUGGAAUCAAGAAAGAGGAUAAAUACUGUGAGCAUUGUAAGACAACCAGCUACUUCUCGGAAAGCUACUUUAAAAUCAUUGAAUACCCGGAAUGGUAUAAAGGACGAAGAACCACACCAUCUGCUAAUCUAGCAAAUACAACUUCUCAGGGAAGUACAGCAGAUGAAUCCAUUGAACAAGGCAAACAUUCUGGAGAUUGGAACAACCCAAAUCUCACUAACUUGAUCCAGCAAGAAAUCAUGAAAGCAUUGAAAGGUGAAAUCGAUCAUGAAGCUGGUUGUGUCGACUUCCCUAACUUCGCUGGUAAGAGUUCUCACACCUCUACUUUAUGUAAAGAUGGUAAAUGGAUUAUUGAUAGUGGUGCAAUGACUCAUAUGUGUUGUGAUCGAAAUCUUUUUACCACUCUUACGCCCCAAAAAUCACACAAUUUUGUUCAACUACCUGAUGACUCCACCAAAAAAAUUACCCAUAUAGGAACCGUGGAGUUACAUCCACAUUUGAAAUUACAAAAUGUGAUUUAUAUACCUGAAUUCAAACAUAACCUCUUGUCCAUUCACCAAUUAUCUAAAGAUUCGCAAAUUCCUAUUCUCUUCACUAAUAAUCAUUAUUAUAUGCAGGACCCCUGGACUAGGAAGUUAUUGGCAAUUGGAAGGAUGGACAAGAGACUAUAUAAGCUUGUCACAAGCUCAUUCAACCAAGCUCGACAUCCCUCUGUGCUCACUACAUUUGAGGAACUAUGUCAACUUUCAAAUAAUUGUAGAGAUUCUGUCAAUGCAAUUUCAAGUCAUGUCAAUGACUCCUAUUUGUGGCAUCAAAGGCUCGGGCAUGCAUCUGAGUCUACAUUUUCUCAUAUUGCCAAAAUAAAAUUCAAUGGAAAUCAUUUUGAUUGUGAUAUAUGUCCAUUGGCUAAGCAACAAAGGUUGCCUUUUCCAAAAAGUACCAUUAACAACUUAGCCAUUUUCCAACUAUUACAUCUCGAUCUAUGGGGUCCAUAUAAGAUCAAGUCCUUGCAAGGCGCAUCCUACUUCCUCACCAUCGUGGAUGACUAUAGCAAGUCAACCUGGACAUACUUACUAGCUGAUAAAUUUCAAGUUCCCUCCACCAUCGCAACAUUCUUACAAUUCAUCAAGAACUACUUUGAAGGCACUGUGAAAAUCAUACGAACAGAUAACGGGACUAAAUUUAUCAACCAAGAAUGUGAACAAUUGUUUGUUCAAAAUGGUAUCUUACACCAAAGGACCUGCUGUAGACACCAUAUUUUGG